UUGUUAAAAAUUUUUAUUGAUUUAAUAAAAUUUUAAUAAAUAUUUUUUAUUUAAUAGUAAAAAUAAUAUUUAAUAAUUUUAAGAUUUUUAGUAAUAUUUUAUAAUAUAUUAUGUAAUAUGGUAUAAUAUUGUUAGUAAUUAAAAAGUUAAAGUAAUAUAUUAUUUUAAAUUAAUUAUUUAAUUGUUGAAUGUAAAUAUUUUUUAUGAAAUAAUUUAUUAAAGAUUAAAGUAUUAAUAAGUUAAAUUAAUUUUUUGUACCUUUUGUAUCAGGGUUUAUUAAAAAAUUUUUAUUUUUUUUAAAAUUCUCGAAUUAAUUGGAGCUAAUAUAUUAUGUAGUUUACUGUUUAAUUAUUAUUUAUAAUAUUAUAUUAGAAGAGAAAUUCUAGUCAUUAAUUAUGAUAUCUAGUUUUUUUAGAAAUAAAUUUAAUUUAUUUAUUAAAUUUUUUAAUAUUGUUAUUUUGUUAAUUUAUUUAAAGUAAAAAAAAUUAUUUAUUUUUUUACUUAAUUUAUUUAAUAAAAAAAAUUUAAGGGAUUAGCUUUAAAUUUUAUUCUAAAAAUUAUUAAUAAAUUUUAGAUUUCAAUAAAUUAUGAAUGUUUGUGUGUGGAUAUUUUAUUGAAAAUUUAAGUUUAUUUUAUAUAAAAACUAUAGAUUUAGAAAUAGUUAUUAGGGUUAAAUUUAUAAUAAUUUAUUUUUAUAUAAUAAAAAUUUAUUUUAAUUAUAUUUUAGGAGGAGUAUAAAAAUAUUAAUAAUUAAUAAUUUAUUUUAAUUAAUAAUGAUAAAAUUAUUAUAUAAUUAAGUUUAUAAUUUUAUAAUUAUAGUAUUUAAAUUAAAUAAAAUUAAUUAAAGAAUAUUAUUGAAAUAUAAUUAUAAGGAACUAGACAAAUUUUAGAUAUUUACCUGUUUAACAAAAACAUGUCUUUUUGAGUGAUAAUUUAAAGUCUAAUCUGCCCAAUGAAUUUAAAAUUUGAAUGGCCGCGGUAUUUUGACCGUGCAAAGGUAGCAUAAUCAUUAGUUUUUUAAUUGAAAGCUUGUAUGAAGGAUUGGAUAAGAUAUUGAUUGUCUCAUUUUUAUUUAUAUUAAAAUUUAAUUUUUGAGUUAAAAAGCUUAAAUUUUAUUAUAGGACGAGAAGACCCUAUAGAUUUUUAUAAAAUUUUAAUUUUAUUUUAAAUUUAAAGAAUUAUUUUAUAAGUAUUUUAUUUUUAUUUUGUUGGGGUGACAGUAAAAUUAAAUUAACUUUUACAUAUAAUUUACAUUGAUUUAUGAAUUUUAUUAAAUACCUAAUAAAAUAUCUUAUUAAUAGUUAUUUUAUAAAAUGAGCAUAUUUAAUAUUUUUGAUCCUAAAUUUUAGAUUAUUAAAUUAAAAUACCUUAGGGAUAACAGCGUUAUUUAUUUGGAGAGAUCAUAUUAAUAAAUAAGUUUGCGACCUCGAUGUUGAAUUAAGAUAACAUUUAGGUGGAGAUACUUAAAAGGUAGGUCUGUUCGACCUUUAAAUUCUUACAUGAUUUGAGUUCAGAUCGGCGUGAGCCAGAUCGGAUUCUAUCCUUAAUUAUAGUUAAAUAUUUUUGUACGAAAGGACUUUAUAUUUUAAAUAUUUUGUUUAUAUUUUUGAAUUAAGUUAAUAUAAUAA
This 1628-nucleotide ribosomal RNA is filed under the name Janus sp. RNAcentral describes it as "16S ribosomal RNA". The record is from RNAcentral. Lineage: Eukaryota; Metazoa; Arthropoda; Insecta; Hymenoptera; Cephidae.